RNAcentral lists this transfer RNA (84 nucleotides) under Rhodospirillales bacterium. Its description in RNAcentral is "tRNA-Leu". It matches the Rfam family "tRNA". From Rfam's summary of the family: Transfer RNA (tRNA) molecules are approximately 80 nucleotides in length. Their secondary structure includes four short double-helical elements and three loops (D, anti-codon, and T loops). Lineage: Bacteria; Pseudomonadati; Pseudomonadota; Alphaproteobacteria; Rhodospirillales. The record is from RNAcentral.
GCCCGCUUGGUGAAAUGGUAGACACAGCGGACUUAAAAUCCGCCGGCUUCGGCUGUGCCGGUUCGACUCCGGCAGCGGGCACCA